AGAGUUUGAUCAUGGCUCAGGAUGAACGCUGGCGGUAUGCUUAACACAUGCAAGUCGAACGAAAUCUUCGGAUUUAGUGGCGGACGGGUGAGUAACGCGUGAGAAUCUACUCUUAGAUUGGGGACAACAGUUGGAAACGACUGCUAAUACCGAAUGUGCCGAAAGGUAAAAGAUUUAUCGUCUGAGAAUGAGCUCGCGUUGGAUUAGCUAGUUGGAGUGGUAAUGGCACACCAAGGCGACGAUCCAUAACUGGUCUGAGAGGAUGACCAGUCACACUGGGACUGAGACACGGCCCAGACUCCUACGGGAGGCAGCAGUGGGGAAUUUUCCGCAAUGGGCGAAAGCCUGACGGAGCAAUACCGCGUGAGGGAGGAAGGCUCUUGGGUCGUAAACCUCUUUUAUUAGGGAAGAAGAUCUGACGGUACCUAAUGAAUCAGCAUCGAUUCCCCCC
RNAcentral lists this ribosomal RNA (451 nucleotides) under uncultured cyanobacterium. RNAcentral's name for it is "bacterial SSU rRNA". It matches the Rfam family "Bacterial small subunit ribosomal RNA", at positions 8 to 504 of the family's 1533-position model. The record is from RNAcentral. Lineage: Bacteria; Bacillati; Cyanobacteriota.